UUUGGCCUCGGAUCAGGCGGGGAUACCCGCUGAACUUAAGC
This 41-nucleotide ribosomal RNA is filed under the name Scolecobasidium musicola. RNAcentral's name for it is "partial 28S ribosomal RNA". Lineage: Eukaryota; Fungi; Ascomycota; Dothideomycetes; Venturiales; Sympoventuriaceae. The record is from RNAcentral.